GUUAAGCGACUAAGCGUACACGGUGGAUGCCCUGGCAGUCAGAGGCGAUGAAGGACGUGCUAAUCUGCGAUAAGCGUCGGUGAGGUGAUAUGAACCGUUAUAACCGGCGAUUUCCGAAUGGGGAAACCCAGUGUGUUUCGACACACUAUCAUUAACUGAAUCCAUAGGUUAAUGAGGCGAACCGGGGGAACUGAAACAUCUAAGUACCCCGAGGAAAAGAAAUCAACCGAGAUUCCCCCAGUAGCGGCGAGCGAACGGGGAGGAGCCCAGAGCCUGAAUCAGUGUGUGUGUUAGUGGAAGCGUCUGGAAAGGCGCGCGAUACAGGGUGACAGCCCCGUACACAAAAAUGCACAUAUUGUGAGCUCGAUGAGUAGGGCGGGACACGUGGUAUCCUGUCUGAAUAUGGGGGACCAUCCUCCAAGGCUAAAUACUCCUGACUGACCGAUAGUGAACCAGUACCGUGAGGGAAAGGCGAAAAGAACCCCGGCGAGGGGAGUGAAAAAGAACCUGAAACCGUGUACGUACAAGCAGUGGGAGCCUCUUUAUGGGGUGACUGCGUACCUUUUGUAUAAUGGGUCAGCGACUUAUAUUCUGUAGCAAGGUUAACCGAAUAGGGGAGCCGAAGGGAAACCGAGUCUUAACUGGGCGUUAAGUUGCAGGGUAUAGACCCGAAACCCGGUGAUCUAGCCAUGGGCAGGUUGAAGGUUGGGUAACACUAACUGGAGGACCGAACCGACUAAUGUUGAAAAAUUAGCGGAUGACUUGUGGCUGGGGGUGAAAGGCCAAUCAAACCGGGAGAUAGCUGGUUCUCCCCGAAAGCUAUUUAGGUAGCGCCUCGUGAAUUCAUCUCCGGGGGUAGAGCACUGUUUCGGCAAGGGGGUCAUCCCGACUUACCAACCCGAUGCAAACUGCGAAUACCGGAGAAUGUUAUCACGGGAGACACACGGCGGGUGCUAACGUCCGUCGUGAAGAGGGAAACAACCCAGACCGCCAGCUAAGGUCCCAAAGUCAUGGUUAAGUGGGAAACGAUGUGGGAAGGCCCAGACAGCCAGGAUGUUGGCUUAGAAGCAGCCAUCAUUUAAAGAAAGCGUAAUAGCUCACUGGUCGAGUCGGCCUGCGCGGAAGAUGUAACGGGGCUAAACCAUGCACCGAAGCUGCGGCAGCGACACUAUGUGUUGUUGGGUAGGGGAGCGUUCUGUAAGCCUGUGAAGGUGGCCUGUGAGGGUUGCUGGAGGUAUCAGAAGUGCGAAUGCUGACAUAAGUAACGAUAAAGCGGGUGAAAAGCCCGCUCGCCGGAAGACCAAGGGUUCCUGUCCAACGUUAAUCGGGGCAGGGUGAGUCGACCCCUAAGGCGAGGCCGAAAGGCGUAGUCGAUGGGAAACAGGUUAAUAUUCCUGUACUUGGUGUUACUGCGAAGGGGGGACGGAGAAGGCUAUGUUGGCCGGGCGACGGUUGUCCCGGUUUAAGCGUGUAGGCUGGUUUUCCAGGCAAAUCCGGAAAACCAAGGCUGAGGCGUGAUGACGAGGCACUACGGUGCUGAAGCGACAAAUGCCCUGCUUCCAGGAAAAGCCUCUAAGCAUCAGGUAACAUCAAAUCGUACCCCAAACCGACACAGGUGGUCAGGUAGAGAAUACCAAGGCGCUUGAGAGAACUCGGGUGAAGGAACUAGGCAAAAUGGUGCCGUAACUUCGGGAGAAGGCACGCUGAUAUGUAGGUGAAGCGACUUGCUCGUGGAGCUGAAAUCAGUCGAAGAUACCAGCUGGCUGCAACUGUUUAUUAAAAACACAGCACUGUGCAAACACGAAAGUGGACGUAUACGGUGUGACGCCUGCCCGGUGCCGGAAGGUUAAUUGAUGGGGUUAGCGGUAACGCGAAGCUCUUGAUCGAAGCCCCGGUAAACGGCGGCCGUAACUAUAACGGUCCUAAGGUAGCGAAAUUCCUUGUCGGGUAAGUUCCGACCUGCACGAAUGGCGUAAUGAUGGCCAGGCUGUCUCCACCCGAGACUCAGUGAAAUUGAACUCGCUGUGAAGAUGCAGUGUACCCGCGGCAAGACGGAAAGACCCCGUGAACCUUUACUAUAGCUUGACACUGAACAUUGAGCCUUGAUGUGUAGGAUAGGUGGGAGGCUUUGAAGUGUGGACGCCAGUCUGCAUGGAGCCGACCUUGAAAUACCACCCUUUAAUGUUUGAUGUUCUAACGUUGGCCCGUAAUCCGGGUUGCGGACAGUGUCUGGUGGGUAGUUUGACUGGGGCGGUCUCCUCCUAAAGAGUAACGGAGGAGCACGAAGGUUGGCUAAUCCUGGUCGGACAUCAGGAGGUUAGUGCAAUGGCAUAAGCCAGCUUGACUGCGAGCGUGACGGCGCGAGCAGGUGCGAAAGCAGGUCAUAGUGAUCCGGUGGUUCUGAAUGGAAGGGCCAUCGCUCAACGGAUAAAAGGUACUCCGGGGAUAACAGGCUGAUACCGCCCAAGAGUUCAUAUCGACGGCGGUGUUUGGCACCUCGAUGUCGGCUCAUCACAUCCUGGGGCUGAAGUAGGUCCCAAGGGUAUGGCUGUUCGCCAUUUAAAGUGGUACGCGAGCUGGGUUUAGAACGUCGUGAGACAGUUCGGUCCCUAUCUGCCGUGGGCGCUGGAGAACUGAGGGGGGCUGCUCCUAGUACGAGAGGACCGGAGUGGACGCAUCACUGGUGUUCGGGUUGUCAUGCCAAUGGCACUGCCCGGUAGCUAAAUGCGGAAGAGAUAAGUGCUGAAAGCAUCUAAGCACGAAACUUGCCCCGAGAUGAGUUCUCCCUGACUCCUUGAGAGUCCUGAAGGAACGUUGAAGACGACGACGUUGAUAGGCCGGGUGUGUAAGCGCAGCGAUGCGUUGAGCUAACCGGUACUAAUGAACCGUGAGGCUUAACC
This 2900-nucleotide ribosomal RNA is filed under the name Escherichia coli. RNAcentral's name for it is "bacterial LSU rRNA". It matches the Rfam family "Bacterial large subunit ribosomal RNA". The record is from RNAcentral. Lineage: Bacteria; Pseudomonadati; Pseudomonadota; Gammaproteobacteria; Enterobacterales; Enterobacteriaceae.